UGAGAUCCUUCUAGGAUAUGCUAACCUAGUACUCUGAGUUUAUCAACGAUUGUUAUCAGGGUGCAGCUGCAUCAGAAGUAUAGCGGAGGAGGAGCCACCCGGUCUGACCACACCCAGUGCAUCAAGGGGCUUUUCUCUCCCGAGCACUGAGGACAUAGAGCCAUUAAAAUCACUCCAUAUUCCAAGAACCUAGGCAGAGUCUGAGGCAUUCCAUGAUCUCUGCCCUGCAAGACUUUUCUCGUCCUUGCCAGCUUCCAUCUGCAAAGACCCUCCCGGAUCUUGUGAGCAGAGGUCACCUCUGUUCUCAGAUAUUUUUGCAUAAGCCCUCUUUACGAGACCCACAUGCAGUCUCCAUGUUGAGAAGGCAUUCGUGGGACCAGAGCAGUAUUGCCUGUUUUGCAACCACCCUGCGGUGUUCCCCAGUGUUGCUGCGCUCUCAGAUGGUCUUUACCUUAGGCUUGUUGUUGCUGCUUGAUCUCUAAUUAACUGCACCAAUAAUAUAGUUUAGUUCGAUGUAUAAAUUUCAGUGUACUCUGAGCCAAGCAAGCUUAUAAUUAUUUAGCUAGAAUUAACAUAGGUCUCCCCUAGCCAUCUUGACCCACAGC
Sapajus apella (tufted capuchin) is the source of this 605-nucleotide long non-coding RNA. RefSeq lists it as uncharacterized. Lineage: Eukaryota; Metazoa; Chordata; Mammalia; Primates; Cebidae. The transcript is spliced from 2 exons. The record is from RefSeq and is a predicted model, not a curated record.